RNAcentral lists this non-coding RNA (29 nucleotides) under Homo sapiens (human). Lineage: Eukaryota; Metazoa; Chordata; Mammalia; Primates; Hominidae. The record is from RNAcentral.
UCCUUCUGGGCCAAGGCCACCGGGUAAGA